Non-coding RNA from Peromyscus maniculatus bairdii (prairie deer mouse), 652 nucleotides. Lineage: Eukaryota; Metazoa; Chordata; Mammalia; Rodentia; Cricetidae. The record is from RefSeq and is a predicted model, not a curated record.
CCAGCAAGCUCCAGGGUUCCCUCUGUCUUAGCCUCCUGAGCACUAGGAUUACAGAGUUCAGGAUACUGAGGGAGACAUCACCACUUUCCAACUGAAGGAGAAACACCAUGCAAAGGCAAAGGUCCAUUAUGCUAACUAGAAGGUAAGUGGAGUCCUCACCCAUCAAUAAGAAAGCUUCUCUUUGCAACAGAUGGAGACCAUUCCAGGAAACCACAACCUACCAAAACCCGGAGCCCAGUCCUAAUGAAUACAUCUGUAAUUGGACUCCCACACCUAAGUCUUGGGGAAACAUUGUGGAAGAGGGGGCAGAAAGAUUGUAAAUUCCAGUUUAGCCCUUUUAGAAAUCCUUUGCUCAAGUAGAAGACAGAAAGAAGAGUAAAGGCUAACUAACAUGCACCAAUUCCUACUGGGCUCUAGUCCAUAGAGUAGACUAGAAACUUCACACACACACACACACACACACACACACACACACACACACACACACACACACACACGAUGAUUAAGCAAUUCCUAUAAUGUAAGUUCUGAUUUAUUUCCAGUUUAUAAAUGAAGAAACUUAGUCACACUUUUUGUCACUGUGACCAAUAACUGAGUAAAACAACUUAAAGGAAAUAAUGAUUUACUUGGACUUACAGUUUCAGAGGUUUUG